UACGGAGGGUGCGAGCGUUGUCCGGAAUCAUUGGGCGUAAAGGGCGCGUAGGUGGCGGGACAAGCGUGCGGUGAAAGCCUGGGGCUCAACCCCGGGUCGGCCGUGCGAACUGUUUUGCUUGAGCACUGUAGAGGCAGGCGGAAUUCCGGGUGUAGCGGUGGAAUGCGUAGAGAUCCGGAGGAACACCGGUGGCGAAGGCGGUUCUCUGGGCAUUACCUGACGCUGAGGAGCGAAAGUGUGGGGAGCGAACAGG
RNAcentral lists this ribosomal RNA (253 nucleotides) under uncultured bacterium. Its description in RNAcentral is "partial 16S ribosomal RNA". It matches the Rfam family "Bacterial small subunit ribosomal RNA", at positions 524 to 776 of the family's 1533-position model. The record is from RNAcentral.